GAUUCCACGUUAUUGCUGUUUAAUUUCAAGGUUUAAUUGGUAGGAAUCAUAGAAACCCCUAUUGUGAGGUUUAGAGAUGAGUUCUUGAUACUAGGCUUGAUUUCCUUCGGAUGUUCCAAAAACUAGUUGAACCAAUAAGUUUUGAUUGUUAUUCUUACCUUUGGAGAUUGGUUUGUGAAGUUUGAGGUUGGUGUUAAGAGCUAUUGGUGAGUUCUAGGUUGAAAACGAGUUCUAGGUUAGAAUUUGCUGGAAAAUCACUGAACCAAGACAGAUUACAGUCCUAACUUCGGAUGAGCAUAUCUUUGUUGUCCGGACUCCGAUUUGGACAAAUUUUAUAUCAAAAUUGAAGCCCCGAAAGUCUACUUUCUAAUGGUGGUGGUCCUAGCAUCUAAUUCCAAUCCUAUCAAAUACUAUGACCAAAAUACUGCAGACUGGUUCUAGGACUCUAUAUCGAUUUGGGGUUUUGUUAUGUUCUGACUUCACCAUUAGAUUAAGACUUUAACCUUACCUUAGACCUUUUGUUAAGAUACCAGGGAGAUCUAAUGAAAGUAUGUAGAAGUUUAAAUGUGCUUCAUUGAAUCUUAAUUAUAAUUACGUUAUAUGUUUAUGUGGGGAACGUGGUUUAGAAGCUCGGAUUUGAGGAAUUGAAGAAUAGGUGAUGUGGUUUCCUUUCGUUUGGACUCGGGCAUAUAUGAGAGCCAAUAUCUAUGUUAUCUGCAGGGAAGUUGUAUUCAAGUUAUCAUGUUUUUGAUGUUCUUGUAAAAGUUAGAGACAUUUGUAAAGUUUCAGGUUAUGCACAGCUCUGAGGUGUAACUAGGAGUUAUAAUUCUUUUGUAAAUAUAAGUUGUUGCCACAUUGGACUUUAUAGGAUAAGCUUCCGUUGGUUAA
Molecule: long non-coding RNA, 888 nt
Organism: Rhododendron vialii
Lineage: Eukaryota; Viridiplantae; Streptophyta; Magnoliopsida; Ericales; Ericaceae
Exons: 2
Source: RefSeq, a predicted model, not a curated record